This 240-nucleotide ribosomal RNA is filed under the name uncultured bacterium. Its description in RNAcentral is "partial 16S ribosomal RNA". It matches the Rfam family "Bacterial small subunit ribosomal RNA", at positions 15 to 248 of the family's 1533-position model. The record is from RNAcentral.
GAUCCUGGCUCAGGAUGAACGCUGGCGGCGCGCCUAACACAUGCAAGUCGAACGGACGAUGUAAAAGCUUGCUUUUCAAAGUUAGUGGUCGGACGGGUGAGUAACGCGUGGGUAACCUGCCUCAUACAGGGGAAUAGCAGCUGGGAAACGGCUGAUAAAACCGCAUAAGCGCACAGUGCCGCAUGGCACAGUGUGAAAAACUCCGGUGGUAAUGAGAUGGACCCGCGUCUGAUUAGCUGG